Molecule: long non-coding RNA, 252 nt
Filed under: Sorghum bicolor (sorghum)
Lineage: Eukaryota; Viridiplantae; Streptophyta; Magnoliopsida; Poales; Poaceae
Description: long non-coding RNA (SBIC_LNC008063)
Source: RNAcentral
AACCAACACAGCAAAAUAUAUGAAACGAAAGAACUAGAGGUUCACUUUGGCACCUCUUAGGAUUACCAUUAUGUCACUGGGUCACUGCUUAUAUUUUAUUAUGCAGGAACGACAAUCAGAAGUCGGCAGAUAUCAUCUGCUAUUAUCUGCUUGCCAGUUGACGAAAGGAAGCCAGCAGAUACCAGUCUACAAUUAUUCAGCUGCAACAUUUCCACCGCCACAUCCAACAAGACCUAUCAUCAGACAAACAUG